This 148-nucleotide non-coding RNA is filed under the name Homo sapiens (human). The record is from Rfam by way of RNAcentral. Lineage: Eukaryota; Metazoa; Chordata; Mammalia; Primates; Hominidae.
GCUGGGCGUGGUGGCUCAUGCCUGUGAUCCCAGCUACUUGGGAGGCUGAGGCAGGAGAAUCGCUUGAACCUGGGAGGUGGAGGUUGCAGUGAGCUGAGAUCGUGCCACUGCACUCCAGCCUGGGUGACAGAGUGAGACUCCGCCUCAA